Molecule: ribosomal RNA, 480 nt
Filed under: uncultured Sphingobacteriales bacterium
Lineage: Bacteria; Pseudomonadati; Bacteroidota; Sphingobacteriia; Sphingobacteriales
Description: bacterial SSU rRNA
Rfam family: Bacterial small subunit ribosomal RNA
Source: RNAcentral
AAACUCAAAUGAAUUGACGGGGGCCCGCACAAGCGGAGGAACAUGUGGUUAAUUCGAUGAUACGCGAGGAACCUUACCUGGGCUUAAAUGGGGAGUGACAGCUGUCGAAAGAUGGUUUCUUCGGACACUCUUCAAGGUGCUGCAUGGUUGUCGUCAGCUCGUGCCGUGAGGUGUCGGGUUAAGUCCCAUAACGAGCGCAACCCUUACCGUUAGUUACCAUCAGGUUAAGCUGGGGACUCUAGCGGGACUGCCACCGUAAGGUGAGAGGAAGUGGGGAUGACGUCAAAUCAGCACGGCCCUUAUGUCCAGGGCUACACACGUGUUACAAUGGCCAGUACAAAGGGCAGCUACCGGGUGACCGGAUGCUAAUCUCUAAAGCUGGUCUCAGUUCGGAUCGAAGUCUGCAACCCGACUUCGUGAAGCUGGAUUCGCUAGUAAUCGCGCAUCAGCUAUGGCGCGGUGAAUACGUUCCCGGGCCUU